AAGGUUCAGUAGAAAGAGGAGCUCGAUGACUAUAGCUAGGGGAUCAUUCCGGUCGGCCGGGGGCAGCACAUUCCAGGGAAAAUCCGGCGAAACACCUCCAGAUCGCCAAGCUCCCCCGGAAUAGUCUCUCCGCCGAGCAUAUGCCAUCUCGGAUCCAUUUCCCUAAGGCUGCUAAAUGGCUCACUCUUGCUAGGCUGCUAGCUAUAUAUAUGUCAGUUAAUUUGGUCAUGUGACAAGUAUCAACUAUAGUGGUAGCAGUGUAGCCCAGCGCCGGCUGUGAAUUACAGGGCAGUUCACCUUUGGCACAAGGGCAAGCAGUAGAAACCAUGCGUGCUUGCUAGAGCUGGAAAUGAUGCUGGUAGCAUUGCAUGGUUCAGGGAUCACAGAUCUCGUGCCAAAGGAGAAUUGCCCUGCGAUUUUGUCUGCGCAGUACUGUCAGAUUUGGCUGCUUAUUUUCUCGCGGUAUUACCAGCUUCUCUUGGCCUAUAAUGUUCGUGGAGGCUACGUUUGUCAGUACCGUGGUCUGUGGCUUGUUCAAGCAGUUUGGAGUAAGGAUCAUUGCAUAUCUCAUAUCUGCU
Molecule: precursor RNA, 578 nt
Filed under: Oryza barthii
Lineage: Eukaryota; Viridiplantae; Streptophyta; Magnoliopsida; Poales; Poaceae
Description: putative precursor microRNA R399a
Rfam family: mir-399 microRNA precursor family (bases 275-423)
Source: RNAcentral